Molecule: unclassified non-coding RNA, 336 nt
Filed under: soil metagenome
Description: partial contains 5.8S ribosomal RNA, internal transcribed spacer 2, and large subunit ribosomal RNA
Rfam family: 5.8S ribosomal RNA (bases 1-120)
Source: RNAcentral
GAUGAAGAACGUAGCGAAAUGCGAUAAGUAGUGUGAAUUGCAGAAUUCAGUGAAUCAUCGAAUCUUUGAACGCACAUUGCGCCCUUUGGUAUUCCUUAGGGCAUGCCUGUUCGAGCGUCAUUUGAAACCUCAAGCUCAGCUUGGUGUUGGGUGUCUGUCCCCGCCUCCGCGGGGACUCGCCUCAAAAUCAUUGGCGGCCGGUACGUUGGCUUCGAGCGCAGCAGAAACGCGAACUCGAGGCCCGGCGGAUCGGCGACCAGAAGUCUCUUCUUCACAGUUCGACCUCGGAUCAGGUAGGGAUACCCGCUGAACUUAAGCAUAUCAAUAAGCGGAGGA